This 423-nucleotide unclassified non-coding RNA is filed under the name uncultured Clavariaceae. RNAcentral's name for it is "sequence contains ITS2". The stretch from base 1 to 154 matches the Rfam family "5.8S ribosomal RNA". Lineage: Eukaryota; Fungi; Basidiomycota; Agaricomycetes; Agaricales; Clavariaceae. The record is from RNAcentral.
AACUUUCAACAACGGAUCACUUGGUUCUCGCAUCGAUGAAGAACGCAGCGAAUUGCGAUAUGUAAUGUGAAUUGUAGAAUUCAGUGAAUCAUCGAAUCUUUGAACGCACCUUGCGCCCUUUGGUAUUCCGAAGGGCAUGCCUGUUUGAGUGUCAUUAAAUUCUCAACUUCAACACUUUUGUAUUGAAGCUUGGAUGUUGGAGGGUUUGCAGGCAUAUUAAUGUCAGCUCCUCUUUAAUGCAUUAGCAGAACUUGUAUGUUUGGCUCUGGUUUGAUAAUCCUAUCUAUGCCAUUGCUGAAAUGUCUAUGUUCAGCUUCUAAUGGUCCAUCUUAUUGGACUGUCUCUUCGGAGGCAUAUUUUUGACUUGACCUCAAAUCAGGUAGGACUACCCGCUGAACUUAAGCAUAUCAAUAAGCGGAGGCU